Long non-coding RNA from Cyprinus carpio carpio, 1624 nucleotides. NCBI's taxonomy places the organism in Eukaryota, Metazoa, Chordata, Actinopteri, Cypriniformes, Cyprinidae. The record is from Ensembl.
ACAGAUAAAUAUGAAAAGAUUGUUGAGGCUUUAUUUUUGCUCAUACACCAGAAAUAAUAUUUUUUCAUGGAAUCAAGAAGCAUAUUUCUUAUCUCUUAAUUUCUUCCUCUCAGCAACAACAUCCCCAAAUGAUGCUGAUGUUGCCGCUGUUGCCAGCCGAAUUGAGGAGCUGGUGGCAAGUGUUAAGAGGAGGUCCCAGCGUCUUUACAAGGAUAGUGACGGAUGCAAAGGACGUGCCCGAAUCCGCCGAAAGAUCAGGGAGGAAAAAAAAAUCUUAAAUUCUGUAGUGGAAAAGUAUAACACCUUGGUUCCUAAUGCAGAAAAACUGACAUUGGACACCAUUCUAUCUGAUGAGAUUGUUUGGCGAUGGCAGCUUACACACGGUGACUCUGUAGAUCUAAGGACAAAGAGGAAGGCGUUCGACAUUGUGAUGGCAGUAAGGAGACUUGAGGAGGAGAAGAGGAUUCUUAUUGCAGAGAUGAACAAGCAUUGGAAGUCUCUUUGCUCCCGUGCAGACACCCUGAAGCAGAUGUCAUCCCAGCUUUCUAAUGUGACAUCAGGUGAGACGUGGGGCCUGCUUCAAGAUGGUAUCCGAGGUCUACAGAGCUUGACGAUGAAGAACAAGCAAGCAAGCAACAGCCUGGCAAAGCAUGCAAAGAAAUAUUAUGUUCAAGUUCUGACUGAAACAGAAAUUAACUUUGAUAGUGAUUCUGAGGAAUACCAUACCAAUAGUGACUCUGAGCAAGAUUAAACAUGGCCAGAGUCCUUUUUUAUGCUGUUGUGUGCUGGGGAGGCAGCAUUAAGAAGAGGGCCGCUGGGACAGGUUGGUAAGGAAAGCUGGCUCUGUGUUUGGCAUGGAGCUGGAGUUAAUCAUUUAACAAACUGAGGAUAAUUUGCAGUAGCAGUCUUCUGUCAUGCUCAACAUUGAGGAGGUCCUUUGUCCCCAGGGCAUACCAGCAACUCAAUGUCACAGAAAAGGUUAGGGGAGAAAUGGACUUUUCAGCAUGAGUCUCACCCUGCGCCAACCAUUACAUCGCUUUGUCUAUUGUCUAGUAUCCACUAUCCAUUUGACUGUCUUACAGGCUACAUUAGCCCCUCUACACAUUCUGGACUGUGGUUUCAACAUUUACCCCUGUUGGCUUGUAUAAUCUUUUCUCUUUUUAUAUAUAUAUAUAUUUAAGUUUCUGUUUUUCUAUCUAUUUUAACUUCCUUGUAUUGUUUUUGUUAAGCAAUACUAUUAUGCUCAGACUCUUUUUUCCAUAGUCAUAUUAAACAUGCACAGCUUUGCACUGAUUAAAUCCCUGCACUGUUUACUUUUGCACUACCACCACUGCAAAUCACUCUAUAGCUGCCCAUCAUGUAUCACAGGGUCAGUCCCUACCAGGCCUUUGUAAUCACUUGACAUGCUCUUCACUUUUUACAUUUGUGAUUUUUGUUAUGUGUCUGAGCUGUGUGUUGUUUUUGUGGUUGUAUAAGCUAAUAAAUGCCUAAAAUGUGGUGUGUCGUCUUAAGUAGCCUACAGUGUCUGUACUAGGGGGAAGAAGACAUUUCAUCAUGACAGUUUCCUCCAUCUCCUAGAGACAUCUUACAUGGAUACACAGAUAACAUUUAUUCACGAGAUCAU